UUUAUGGAGAGUUUGAUCCUGGCUCAGGAUGAACGCUGGCGGCGUGCCUAAUACAUGCAAGUCGAGCGAACAGACGAGGAGCUUGCUCCUUCGACGUUAGCGGCGGACGGGUGAGUAACACGUAGGUAACCUACCUAUAAGACUGGGAUAACUUCGGGAAACCGGAGCUAAUACCGGAUAAUAUUUCGAACCGCAUGGUUCGAUAGUGAAAGAUGGCUUUGCUAUCACUUAUAGAUGGACCUGCGCCGUAUUAGCUAGUUGGUAAGGUAACGGCUUACCAAGGCGACGAUACGUAGCCGACCUGAGAGGGUGAUCGGCCACACUGGAACUGAGACACGGUCCAGACUCCUACGGGAGGCAGCAGUAGGGAAUCUUCCGCAAUGGGCGAAAGCCUGACGGAGCAACGCCGCGUGAGUGAUGAAGGUCUUCGGAUCGUAAAACUCUGUUAUUAGGGAAGAACAAACGUGUAAGUAACUGUGCACGUCUUGACGGUACCUAAUCAGAAAGCCACGGCUAACUACGUGCCAGCAGCCGCGGUAAUACGUAGGUGGCAAGCGUUAUCCGGAAUUAUUGGGCGUAAAGCGCGCGUAGGCGGUUUUUUAAGUCUGAUGUGAAAGCCCACGGCUCAACCGUGGAGGGUCAUUGGAAACUGGAAAACUUGAGUGCAGAAGAGGAAAGUGGAAUUCCAUGUGUAGCGGUGAAAUCUGAUGUGAAAGCCCACGGCUCAACCGUGGAGGGUCAUUGGAAACUGGAAAACUUGAGUGCAGAAGAGGAAAGUGGAAUUCCAUGUGUAGCGGUGAAA
RNAcentral lists this ribosomal RNA (802 nucleotides) under Streptococcus pneumoniae. RNAcentral describes it as "bacterial SSU rRNA". It matches the Rfam family "Bacterial small subunit ribosomal RNA", at positions 1 to 807 of the family's 1533-position model. Lineage: Bacteria; Bacillati; Bacillota; Bacilli; Lactobacillales; Streptococcaceae. The record is from RNAcentral.